This 253-nucleotide ribosomal RNA is filed under the name uncultured bacterium. RNAcentral describes it as "partial 16S ribosomal RNA". It matches the Rfam family "Bacterial small subunit ribosomal RNA", at positions 524 to 776 of the family's 1533-position model. The record is from RNAcentral.
UACGGAGGGUGCAAGCGUUAUCCGGAUUUACUGGGUUUAAAGGGUGUGUAGGCGGACUUUUAAGUCAGCGGUGAAAUCUCCGGGCUCAACCCGGAAACUGCCAUUGAUACUAUUGGUCUUGAAUGUUGUUGAGGUGGGCGGAACGGGUCAUGUAGCGGUGAAAUGCAUAGAUAUGACCCGGAACACCGGUUGCGAAGGCAGCCCACUAAGCAACGAUUGACGCUGAGGCACGAAAGCGUGGGGAUCAAACAGG